Molecule: microRNA precursor, 208 nt
Filed under: Oryza meridionalis
Lineage: Eukaryota; Viridiplantae; Streptophyta; Magnoliopsida; Poales; Poaceae
Description: MIR812 microRNA precursor family
Rfam family: MIR812 microRNA precursor family
Source: Rfam by way of RNAcentral
UUUAAGCGAAACCAUGAUUUUUCGUGUUAAUUUUGAUUGUUCGUCUUAUUUGAAGUAUUUUUUAAUUAGUUUUAUUGUUAUUUUUAUGAUUCUUGUUACUAGAAGAUAGUACUUUAUACGUGACUUAUGUGUUCUAAUUUUUUUCAAAAAAUUUUCAAAUAACAUCGAUGAUUAAAGUUGGAUACGAAAACUCAUGAUUGCAUUUAAA